CGGGGUCAUCGCUGCCGUUCUCUUCACUUUGACUGAUGUAUUUGAUUAACUGGCAUUACCUUCAGACUUUCUCAGGAGGAAUUAGGAGAGCUUUGAGGGGAGCAGAAAGAAGGAGAUGACAGACUUUCCAGAGGAUCCAACGAGCAAUGGUGGCAAGAGGGCAGAGUGGUGUGGCGCUGAGAGCUUUCCAGGCAGUGAAACAAGAGAGACGAUGAGUUUAACCAGGAGACUGAGCCAUGAGACCAGGAACUGUAGCACAAGACAGCAAGGACCAAAAACAGGGGAAAUCCAUCAUGACCAGAACGUCAGCAACAGAGGAUACCAACAGGAAGAAGAGGAAUGAAAUGAAACGAGGAAAAAAGCAGUGGAUCCAGACCACAGUAUCUAAAGGCUGAUGAUAUCCUCCUGCCAUCACACACGAGUGCAUCUCGAUAUUGGCUGCCAGCAGAGAGUCUGUGGGGUGCAUGUCAAUCCAGUUUUACCCACCGAAGGAUCCCUCUUCCCUCGUUUGCCACGAAAUUUCCAAAGAAUAUGAAUCAUCUUCCACCAAGAGCGGCUCCUUCUUUCCUUUCAGUGUGUUCUCUCCAUCGUUCCCAUUCAUCCUGUGUGCCGGAGAGGUCCGCAAGACUCAUUAGCACCCGCCUCUGUGUUUCAUGCCGUGUUUCCCCAAAGGCAUAACUAGCACCAUUAGCCCAGGCAGCAGUGAGAUUUCAAACUGCCUGGGCAGACGGAUGCCUUCCAAACCAAAGCAGUCAUGGUUUCCAAGAUUCUGCCUCCAGUUGGAUGUGAAUGCGGGGCGGACAUUCGGCGACAGCUCCCUCCCUUAGCCAUGCAGAAAGAGAAUCACCUGCUGAAAAUGGAGUGACUGCUUUUCAGAAUUCCCCCAGGUGAAGAACAAAGAGUAAUUCAUUUUUUCAAUCUGUCACGAAAAGGAAGAAAAAGUGAGACCAGAGACUUUAAAAGGCACGAAUUGGACUGGAGGCACAAUAUGGCUGAGGAGAUAAAGCUGAAAAAGAGCGAGAUAACCCUUUUGCUUGGCUAGUCUUUGUGACAGAGUGGGAAUAACCACAGCACAGGAUUGGUAACCAGCAUAAUUUCAGGUUAAACACAAAUACCCUCUCACUCAGUCCAGCGAAUAUAUAUAUAUAUAUAUCUAUAUAUAUCUAUACACAUUCAAUAAUGACAGAGUGAGCAGUCAUCUACCAUGUGCUGCAAAUGCUAUGCUGUAAAUAAGAUCUAAGAACAGUUCAGCUGUUCAGGGAAAAAUAUGCAAUAAUGGUUUUUCAUGACUGAUUUAUAGAAUAAUGGCUGUGUAAGUAAACAGCCGUUUGCAUCUGGCUGCUGCUUCUGGUUGAAAACAAAUCUAGUAAAUCGAUAUAAAAAAUCUGUUAGUCUGCCUCUGAAUAUUUUCUCAUUUCCAGACUACUUCAUGAGUGUAUGUGAGUGUACUCUGCACAUUAGUGUUUGAAAAUUGUUUCCUUAAAAAUGUAGGUUCUGUGUUUUGGAUAACGUCGCAAACAGGAAGAAAUUAGACUUUUUGUUAGUCGACUAUUUUCAGAUGGAUGGGGUCACUGAGAUGUCGUCCUUUGCCAUGAUGGAGUACUAUCAGCGAACACCAGCGAGCUUCAACAGACACACGCUCAUGUUGUAUAAUUAGCGCUAAAUAGUUAAACUAUUAA
Oreochromis niloticus (Nile tilapia) is the source of this 1679-nucleotide long non-coding RNA. RefSeq lists it as uncharacterized. The record is from RefSeq and is a predicted model, not a curated record. NCBI's taxonomy places the organism in Eukaryota, Metazoa, Chordata, Actinopteri, Cichliformes, Cichlidae. The transcript has 6 exons.